CGGGCUAAACCCGCGUACAUGCCACCGGGGCAUCCCGGAGGCAGGAAAGGCUUCGGCCGGACAGGGAUGGGCAUGCGGCGCAUUAGGCAGUAGGCGGGGUAACGGCCCACCUAACCGACGAUGCGUAGGGGUUCUGAGAGGAAGGUCCCCCACACUGGUACUGAGACACGGACCAGACUCCUACGGGAGGCAGCAGUGAGGAAUAUUGGUCAAUGGUCGGGAGACUGAACCAGCCAAGCCGCGUGAGGGAUGAAGGUACAGAGUAUCGUAAACCUCUUUUGUCAGGGAACAAAGGCGGGGACGUGUCCCCGGAUGAGUGUACCUGAAGAAAAAGCAUCGGCUAACUCCGUGCCAGCAGCCGCGGUAAUACGGAGGAUGCGAGCGUUAUCCGGAUUUAUUGGGUUUAAAGGGUGCGCAGGCGGUCUGUUAAGUCAGCGGUCAAAGCCCGGGGCUCAACCCCGGCCCGCCGUUGAAACUGGCAGUCUCGAGUUGGAGAGAAGUAUGCGGAAUGCGCGGUGUAGCGGUGAAAUGCAUAGAUAUCGCGCAGAACUCCGAUUGCGAAGGCAGCAUGCCGGCUCCACACUGACGCUGAGGCACGAAAGCGUGGGUAUCGAACAGGAUUAGAUACCCUGGUAGUCCACGCAGUAAACGA
Molecule: ribosomal RNA, 652 nt
Filed under: uncultured bacterium
Lineage: Bacteria
Description: bacterial SSU rRNA
Rfam family: Bacterial small subunit ribosomal RNA
Source: RNAcentral